RNAcentral lists this ribosomal RNA (274 nucleotides) under uncultured bacterium. RNAcentral describes it as "partial 16S ribosomal RNA". It matches the Rfam family "Bacterial small subunit ribosomal RNA", at positions 523 to 796 of the family's 1533-position model. The record is from RNAcentral.
AUACAAAGGGUGCGAGCGUUAAUCGGAAUUACUGGGCGUAAAGCGCGCGUAGGCGGCUGAUUAAGUUAGAUGUGAAAUCCCAGGGCUCAACCUUGGAACUGCAUCUGAUACUGGUCAGCUAGAGUUUAGGAGAGGGAAGUAGAAUUUCAGGUGUAGCGGUGAAAUGCAUAGAUAUCUGAAGGAAUACCAGUGGCGAAGGCGGCUUCCUGGCCUAAAACUGACGCUGAGGUGCGAAAGCGUGGGUAGCAAACGGGAUUAGAUACCCGGGUAGUCC